This 497-nucleotide ribosomal RNA is filed under the name uncultured bacterium. RNAcentral's name for it is "partial 16S ribosomal RNA". It matches the Rfam family "Bacterial small subunit ribosomal RNA", at positions 28 to 507 of the family's 1533-position model. The record is from RNAcentral.
GAUGAACGCUGGCGGCGUGCCUAAUACAUGCAAGUCGAGCGAACGGACGAGAAGCUUGCUCCUAUGAUGUUAGCGGCGGACGGGUGAGUAACACGUGGAUAACCUACCUAUAAGCCUGGGAUAACUUCGGGAAACCAGAGCUAAUACCGGAUAACAUCUUGAACCGUAUGGUUCAAAAGUGAAAGAUGGUCUUGCUGUCACUUAUAGAUGGCUCCCGUCUUCUUUAGCUAGUUGGUAAGGAAACGGCUUACCAAGGCAAGGAGCGAUAGCCGACCGGAGAGGGGAUCGGCCCAAGCGGGAACGGGACAACGGUCCAAAUCCCUAGGGGGGGAGGCGUAGGGGAACUUUGGCAAAGGAGGAAAGUCCGAACGGGGCAAGCCGGGGGGGGGAAUGAAGGUCUCCGGUUCGUAAAACUCUUUGGUAAGGAAAAAAGAUGGUGGGAAUUGACUGUGCAUAUCUUGACGGUACCUAAUCAGAAAGCCACGGCUAACUACGUG